This 450-nucleotide ribosomal RNA is filed under the name uncultured bacterium. RNAcentral describes it as "partial 16S ribosomal RNA". It matches the Rfam family "Bacterial small subunit ribosomal RNA", at positions 354 to 796 of the family's 1533-position model. The record is from RNAcentral.
GUGGGGAAUAUUGGACAAUGGGCGAAAGCCUGAUCCAGCCAUGCCGCGUGUGUGAAGAAGGUCUUCGGAUUGUAAAGCACUUUAAGUUGGGAGGAAGGGCAGUAAGUUAAUACCUUGCUGUUUUGACGUUACCGACAGAAUAAGCACCGGCUAACUUCGUGCCAGCAGCCGCGGUAAUACGAAGGGUGCAAGCGUUAAUCGGAAUUACUGGGCGUAAAGCGCGCGUAGGUGGUUUUGUAAGUUGGAGGUGAAAUCCCCGGGCUCAACCUGGGAACUGCCUCCAAAACUGCAUGACUAGAGUACGGUAGAGUGUAGUGGAAUUUCCUGUGUAGCGGUGAAAUGCGUAGAUAUAGGAAGGAACACCAGUGGCGAAGGCGACUACCUGGACUGAUACUGACACUGAGGUGCGAAAGCGUGGGGAGCAAACAGGAUUAGAUACCCGAGUAGUCC